AUAUAUAUGAGUUGAUCUAGGAUACUUUUACAAGGUAUCAUCCCCAUGUUGCUAUCACUUUUUUAGCUAUUGGAUCUACUUUUUGAUUACAAAUAGCCCUUGGAUCAAACAUUAUUCCACCUACCACCACCUACCCCCACCUACCCCCAUCAUCUCAACCUCACAUCUCUUCAUCCAAGGGCUAAAAACACACAAGUAUCACUUAGGUGAUACUUGUAAAAGUAUUCUAGCCCUUAAAUAUAUAUAUAUA
Molecule: long non-coding RNA, 250 nt
Filed under: Ananas comosus (pineapple)
Lineage: Eukaryota; Viridiplantae; Streptophyta; Magnoliopsida; Poales; Bromeliaceae
Description: long non-coding RNA (ACOM_LNC032923)
Source: RNAcentral